This 626-nucleotide ribosomal RNA is filed under the name Pseudomonas aeruginosa. RNAcentral's name for it is "bacterial SSU rRNA". It matches the Rfam family "Bacterial small subunit ribosomal RNA", at positions 56 to 677 of the family's 1533-position model. Lineage: Bacteria; Pseudomonadati; Pseudomonadota; Gammaproteobacteria; Pseudomonadales; Pseudomonadaceae. The record is from RNAcentral.
UGCAAGUCGAGCGGAUGAAGGGAGCUUGCUCCUGGAUUCAGCGGCGGACGGGUGAGUAAUGCCUAGGAAUCUGCCUGGUAGUGGGGGAUAACGUCCGGAAACGGGCGCUAAUACCGCAUACGUCCUGAGGGAGAAAGUGGGGGAUCUUCGGACCUCACGCUAUCAGAUGAGCCUAGGUCGGAUUAGCUAGUUGGUGGGGUAAAGGCCUACCAAGGCGACGAUCCGUAACUGGUCUGAGAGGAUGAUCAGUCACACUGGAACUGAGACACGGUCCAGACUCCUACGGGAGGCAGCAGUGGGGAAUAUUGGACAAUGGGCGAAAGCCUGAUCCAGCCAUGCCGCGUGUGUGAAGAAGGUCUUCGGAUUGUAAAGCACUUUAAGUUGGGAGGAAGGGCAGUAAGUUAAUACCUUGCUGUUUUGACGUUACCAACAGAAUAAGCACCGGCUAACUUCGUGCCAGCAGCCGCGGUAAUACGAAGGGUGCAAGCGUUAAUCGGAAUUACUGGGCGUAAAGCGCGCGUAGGUGGUUCAGCAAGUUGGAUGUGAAAUCCCCGGGCUCAACCUGGGAACUGCAUCCAAAACUACUGAGCUAGAGUACGGUAGAGGGUGGUGGAAUUUCCUGUGUA